This 73-nucleotide transfer RNA is filed under the name Stegodyphus mimosarum. It matches the Rfam family "tRNA". Rfam says of the family: Transfer RNA (tRNA) molecules are approximately 80 nucleotides in length. The record is from Rfam by way of RNAcentral. Lineage: Eukaryota; Metazoa; Arthropoda; Arachnida; Araneae; Eresidae.
GCCUUCGUGGUGUAAUGGUCAGCACACUUGGUGCGUAUUGAAGAGAUCAGAGGUUCGAGUCCCGACGAGGGCA